RNAcentral lists this ribosomal RNA (253 nucleotides) under uncultured bacterium. Its description in RNAcentral is "partial 16S ribosomal RNA". It matches the Rfam family "Bacterial small subunit ribosomal RNA", at positions 524 to 776 of the family's 1533-position model. The record is from RNAcentral.
UACGGAGGGUGCAAGCGUUGUCCGGAUUUAUUGGGUUUAAAGGGUGCGUAGGCGGCUUUUUAAGUCAGCGGUGAAAUACUUCAGCUCAACUGGAGUCGUGCCGUUGAUACUGGGAAGCUUGAGUACUGAUGAAGUGGGCGGAAUUGAUAGUGUAGCGGUGAAAUGCAUAGAUAUUAUCAAGAACACCGAUUGCGAAGGCAGCUCACUAAGGAGUAACUGACGCUGAGGCACGAAAGCGUGGGUAGCAAACAGG